Molecule: non-coding RNA, 118 nt
Organism: Aedes albopictus (Asian tiger mosquito)
Lineage: Eukaryota; Metazoa; Arthropoda; Insecta; Diptera; Culicidae
Source: Rfam
UGCCCAGCAACUCCUAUCCCUACCUCCACGCGGUACCGACCGGACACUAUGAGCAACCUUAGGGAAGAUCGGGUAACCAACCCCGGUGGGAACUUUGGUCGUAGGCUGACAGGGAAGG